GGAAGUAAGAUCCCUGAAAGAUGAUCAGGUUGAUAGGUCUGAGGUGGAAGUGUGGCGACACAUGGAGCUGACAGAUACUAAUCGAUCGAGGACUUAACCACAUUU
This 105-nucleotide ribosomal RNA is filed under the name Bacillus spizizenii. RNAcentral's name for it is "partial 23S ribosomal RNA". It matches the Rfam family "Bacterial large subunit ribosomal RNA", at positions 2824 to 2925 of the family's 2925-position model. Lineage: Bacteria; Bacillati; Bacillota; Bacilli; Caryophanales; Bacillaceae. The record is from RNAcentral.